RNAcentral lists this ribosomal RNA (489 nucleotides) under uncultured bacterium. Its description in RNAcentral is "partial 16S ribosomal RNA". It matches the Rfam family "Bacterial small subunit ribosomal RNA", at positions 28 to 507 of the family's 1533-position model. The record is from RNAcentral.
GACGAACGCUGGCGGCGUGCUUAACACAUGCAAGUCGAACGGAAAGGCCCCCACCUUGGUGGGGGUGCUCGAGUGGCGAACGGGUGAGUAACACGUGGGUGAUCUGCCCUGUACUUCGGGAUAAGCUUGGGAAACUGGGUCUAAUACCGGAUAGGACCAUGGUUUAGUGUCUCAUGGUGGAAAAAUUAUUGUUUUGGUGCAGGAUGAGCUCGCGGCCUAUCAGCUUGUUGGUGGGGUAAUGGCCUACCAAGGCGUCGACGGGUAGCCGGCCUGAGAGGGUGGACGGCCACAUUGGGACUGAGAUACGGCCCAGACUCCUACGGGAGGCAGCAGUGGGGAAUAUUGCACAAUGGGAGCAAGCCUGAUGCAGCGACGCCGCGUGGGGGAUGACGGCCUUCGGGUUGUAAACUCCUUUCGUUAGGGACGAAGCCACACCUUUUUUGGGUGUGGUGACGGUACCUUUGUUAAGAAGCACCGGCUAACUACGUG